UACGUAGGGGGCGAGCGUUGUCCGGAUUUAUUGGGCGUAAAGAGCGUGUAGGCGGCCAGGUAGGUCUGCUGUGAAAACUCGAGGCUCAACCUCGAGACGUCGGCGGAAACCAUCUGGCUAGAGUCCGGAAGAGGAGAGUGGACUUCCUGGUGUAGCGGUGAAAUGCGCAGAUAUCAGGAAGAACACCCGUGGCGAAGGCGGCUCUCUGGGACGGUACUGACGCUGAGACGCGAAAGCGUGGGGAGCGAACAGG
Molecule: ribosomal RNA, 253 nt
Filed under: uncultured bacterium
Lineage: Bacteria
Description: partial 16S ribosomal RNA
Rfam family: Bacterial small subunit ribosomal RNA
Source: RNAcentral